AGAAACGGCUCCACAUUUGGAAAAGAUAUCCUUGAGGGAUAUAUAUGCUGAAAAUCCAAACAGAAACCCAGCACUGGAGAUGGAGCAAAGAUGUUCUAUUGGCAAUUUGUGCAGCUCAUUGUGCGACCGUUCUGAACACCGGCAGUCACCUAUCUGCCACAUGAUCCUUCCCUAAGCCAAGCCAGGAUGGAAGGGAUCACUUGAGGGCUAUAACAAACAAGAAAGAGAAUGUUGCAUAAGACACUCUGUAAAACUUAAAGCUAGGAAAACAGACGUGUAGAAGUUUGAGAAAGUGAAGAUGAAGAGAGAUGAUAUAUAUGCUUUUGUAACUGAAAGACAGGAAAGAGACAAGCAUGAGAUCCUGAAAGAAGCCACAGUGUUCUCCAGCCAGAUUUCAGCCCAGUACACACCUGGACACACUCCAGGCACACUAGAUGCAGCCUUGAAGAACUUUUUUUCUAGAGACUGUUUAUGUCAAGACAGUGCAAAGCAAGUGUUCCAAGAAUUUCAUCUAAGUUGCAAGACUGCAAAGAUUUCUAGAUGCAGUUUACACCCUGAAAGAAAUUCAAAGGUGGAUGUGGAAGUUAGGGGACUGUGAGUGCUGAAUUGAAUCCAGAGCAAUAUUGCACAUGAAAAUUUUUUUGGGGGGGGAAUUUUGCAUUUUUUUGCAUUUUGGGAAGCACUGGAUCAGAAAUAAAAGCUAAAAAGUAAUUUGGAAGCACAGAAUAAAUGAAAACUAAAAAAGUCAUUUGUAAGACUGUGUCAAAUGGAAAUGUGUAUCUAUAGUGGAAAUACAAAUGGGGAUUCUUGAAUCAUGAGAAGAAAGAAGAUAGAAGUUUGAGCAUGCAGGCUGGACAUUGGAGUUUGAAGCACUGGCAAGACUUGAAUCACUUGAAGGGAGUAGGAAUGGGCAGAAGAGUCUGGAGUGGUAGAGAGGAGGAGUACCAAGGUAGAGCAGAAACGGAGUGAUCUAGAAUGGAUGAUAGGCCAAAAGAAAUCAGUAAGAAUAAAGGUCCUAAGAGCGGAAAGUUGGCAAUGGUAAAAGAGAAACCACGGUGGAGGACAGGUGAUUUGUAAAAGAAAAACAGAGUGUGAGGGGACAAGGAAUGUAACAGGGGAAGACAAGAGGGAACCUGCAUUAGGCAAAGCUGAAACAGCAGGAGAAUUGCAGACUUUAUAAAUGUGACUCACUAGAUUAAAGGAGUAGUUAUAAUAAACAUCUUCCUUAUAGAUGGAGAGGAGAGCAACAACCACAGGGCUCUUUUGACAGGGCACUUUCUUCCUGCAUUCUCUUUUCUAAGGUGGGAGAGCACAAAAUGUGUGUAAGGACUACUGCCAUUUCUCUUAGUAGAUGGUAUCAGUUCCAGCUGUAAGAUAACAGUAGCCUCACAGCA
Molecule: long non-coding RNA, 1394 nt
Organism: Lagopus muta (rock ptarmigan)
Lineage: Eukaryota; Metazoa; Chordata; Aves; Galliformes; Phasianidae
Exons: 3
Source: RefSeq, a predicted model, not a curated record